UAAUUAAUACUCAAUCAAUUUUCUGGUACUCUUCCUUCUGAGCUUGGUUAUCUGGUCAACUUGCUGACCUUGCUUUGUAGGAAGUGCAAUGAAACAUUCAAAAGACUGGAGGGGAAAGAUCAGAAAUGCUCAAGCGUCAAUCAAAUGUUGUACGAGCACUUAAAUGCAGCUCAAGACGUAAUUUCUACUUUCUGAAUUUAUAUGAAACUAUCAAAACCCUAGUAUUUUUUCCAGAAAGUGUAGAAUCAAAUGACAUUAACUUUGAAGCA
This is a long non-coding RNA of Rosa chinensis, 269 nucleotides long. RefSeq lists it as uncharacterized. The record is from RefSeq and is a predicted model, not a curated record. The transcript is spliced from 2 exons. NCBI's taxonomy places the organism in Eukaryota, Viridiplantae, Streptophyta, Magnoliopsida, Rosales, Rosaceae.